RNAcentral lists this ribosomal RNA (471 nucleotides) under uncultured bacterium. RNAcentral describes it as "bacterial SSU rRNA". It matches the Rfam family "Bacterial small subunit ribosomal RNA", at positions 8 to 526 of the family's 1533-position model. The record is from RNAcentral.
AGAGUUUGAUCAUGGCUCAGGAUGAACGCUGGCGGUAUGCUUAACACAUGCAAGUCGAACGGGAUAGCAAUAUCUAGUGGUGGACGGGUGAGUAACGCGUAAGAAUCUACCUACAGGACGGGGACAACGUUGGGAAACUGACGCUAAAACCCGAUGUGCCGGGAGGUGAAAUAUUAAUAGCCUGUAGAUGAGCUUGCGUCUGAUUAGCUGGUUGGAGUGGUAACGGCACACCAAGGCAACAAUCAGUAACUGGUCUGAGAGGAUGAUCAGUCACACUGGAACUGAGACACGGUCCAGACUCCUACGGGAGGCAGCAGUGGGGAAUUUUCCGCAAUGGGCGCAAGCCUGACGGAGCAAUACCGCGUGAGGGAUGAAGGUUCGUGGAUUGUAAACCUCUUUUUUCGGGGACGAUAAUGACGGUACCCGAAGAAUAAGCAUCGGCUAACUCCGUGCCAGCCGCCGCGGUAAUUC